UGCGCUUUGGGCGCUGAAAACGCUAUUUAGACAGUUUCAGAGCGCUACGAGCUUGGGAAAGUGGUUUUUCUA
Non-coding RNA from Pangasianodon gigas (Mekong giant catfish), 72 nucleotides. The record is from the annotation of a GenBank genome assembly. NCBI's taxonomy places the organism in Eukaryota, Metazoa, Chordata, Actinopteri, Siluriformes, Pangasiidae.